AAUGUGCAUGUUCCUGGGUUCACCCAGGACCAUAGGCCCUAAACCCCAGCUCCCACCACCCCGCCCUUAGUUCACAGUGUCCAGAGUCCUGCUGUCUGCCUGCCCCAUGCUCCAUGAGCCAUCCCACUCAUCCUGGGACAGCCUGAUGCUCACAGCCACAGGGCUCCUCAGAGCUGUCCCUUCCUUGGGUUUGAGGCCGGGGGACUUUGAAUCCUAAUUGUGGAGCCACCUUGAACUCCCAGGGCAGAUGGAUGAGAAAGGACAUCCUUGAUCACCCAUGCAUUUGAAGGCGGUUCCCAGUACUCCACCUAUGUACAUAUGAGGAUGGAGAGGCAUUAAGGAAAAGGUGGGACAAGAUGAGAGAAUAACUCAUUAACUGAAGGGAAGGAGGGAGCUUGGCUAGUUUCUUGUCUCUCCCGCCCUUGGGCGCCUCGGAAAUACACAAUGGAAAGCCACACAGGUGAAAUCAGACGUAGGUGGAGCUCAAGGGAGGACCUAAGCGGGGAGGGGACCUCUAGAGUUAAGGGAGCCAUGUAUGCUGGCUCACACUUGUAAUCCCAGUGCCCAAGAGGUAGAGGCAGGAGGAUCAGGAGCUAAAGGUCAUCCUUGACUACUUAGUGAGUUCAAGGCCAGCCUGAGCUACAUGAGACCCUGUCUCCACAACAAACACCUCAGGAAAUAAGAGUGGACUAUUGCUGGGCCGUGGUGGCAUAUGUCUUUAAUCCCAGCACUUAGGAGGCAGAGACAGGCGAAUCUCUGUGAGUUCGAGGCCAGCCUGGACGACAGAAUGAGUUCUAGGACAGCCAGGGCUACCCAGAGAAACCCUGUCUUGAAAAACAACAACAACAACAGAAAAGCGUGGACUGUUAAGGAACAUAAAAGGUCCCUUGUGGAACUGGAUCUCUAAGCAAGAAACUGGGGACCUACAGCCAAUAACGCCCAUUUGGUGAGCCCACUUCGCCCACCAGACUAGCUGCAGUCCAACACCCCUCAAGCUACAGGUCAACGCACUUGCAGGCUACAACUGGUAUUGGGUACGCGUGUGUUUCUUUCUUCUUCUUAAAGAUUAUCGUUAUUUUAAAUUUAUUUUAUGUAUAUGGGUGUUCUGCCCAUGUCCCUGCAUACCACAGUCCCACUGAUGCCAGAGAGGGUGUCGGGAAUCCCUGCAACUGGAGUUAGAUGGUUGUGAGCCACCAUGUGGAUGCCGGGAACUGAACCCACGUCUUCUGCAAGAGCGUCAAGUGUUCCUGACUGCUGAGGAAGCCCACUCUUUCCGCUUUCCAUGCUGGAGCUCCAGCUAGCACCAUGCAUAGGCCAAGCACAAGCUCCACCUCUCCGUCGACUAACAUACUAGCUGCCUUACAUUUA
Molecule: long non-coding RNA, 1368 nt
Organism: Peromyscus eremicus (cactus mouse)
Lineage: Eukaryota; Metazoa; Chordata; Mammalia; Rodentia; Cricetidae
Exons: 2
Source: RefSeq, a predicted model, not a curated record